GAUCACCAUGGUGACUUACAAGCAAUUCACUAUACUUUGAUGCUGGACUACCUAAAUUUUUAAUUCAGUGAUGAAAGAUUUCUAGACACAGUCAAGUACUUGCAAAGUCGGUGUGUGAGUCAAGAUAGAAUUGACCCCUUCGAAUAAGUAGGAGUUAAUGUAUCAACGUAUUUCAAUUCAGUAAAAUCUUGACUGGAGUAAUUUAUGUGAU
Molecule: long non-coding RNA, 211 nt
Filed under: Elaeis guineensis (African oil palm)
Lineage: Eukaryota; Viridiplantae; Streptophyta; Magnoliopsida; Arecales; Arecaceae
Description: long non-coding RNA (EGUI_LNC080576)
Source: RNAcentral